This 328-nucleotide long non-coding RNA is filed under the name Vigna radiata. Its description in RNAcentral is "long non-coding RNA (VRAD_LNC014547)". Lineage: Eukaryota; Viridiplantae; Streptophyta; Magnoliopsida; Fabales; Fabaceae. The record is from RNAcentral.
CGGCCGGACACUUCAAGACAUCAGGACGGAAAGGAGGAUUGCGAACGGCCGAAUAGACGGUAGCGGAGAGUACAGAGUUACCCGGACCUACAAAGCAGAAACACUUCUUAUUAUGAUGCUUAUUAUUAAUGGUUCUUCUUAUUUUUUUUCUUUUUUUUCUUAUAAUUCUUCUUCUUAUUCUUCUUAUUAUUGUUUCUUAUUAUUCUACUUCUUAUUCUUCUUAUUAUUGUUGUUCUUUUCAAUUUUCUUUUUCUUCUUCUUCUCUUUAUUACUAUCAUCCUUAUUAUUAUUCUUAAUAUUACUAUUACUAUUGUCAUUUUUAUUUUUC